This 497-nucleotide ribosomal RNA is filed under the name uncultured bacterium. RNAcentral's name for it is "partial 16S ribosomal RNA". It matches the Rfam family "Bacterial small subunit ribosomal RNA", at positions 28 to 507 of the family's 1533-position model. The record is from RNAcentral.
GAUGAACGCUGGCGGCGUGCCUAGUACAUGCCAGUCGAGCGAACAGAUGAGGAUCUUGCUCCUCUGACGUGAGCGGCGGACGGGUGUGUAACACGUGUAUCACCUACCUAUAAGAGUGGUAUAACUACGGGAAACCGGAGCUAAUAGCGGAUAAUAUACUGAACCGCAUUGUUCAAUAGUGAAAGUCGGCUUUUGGGUCACGUCUCGCUGGAUCCGCGCCUCAUUAGCUAGUUGGUAAUUUAACGGCCUACCAAGGGAACGAUGCGUAGGCGAAGUGACAGACGGAUCGGCGACACUGGAACGUGGACACCGACAUGGCGCCUAAGGGAGGCAGCAGUAGGGAAUCGUCCGCAAUAGGCGAAAGCCUGACGGAGCAACGGCACGUGAGUGACGACGGUCUUCGGAUCGUAAAACCCUGUUAUUAGGGAAGAACCACUGUCUCCGUAAAUAUGCCCGUCUUGACGGUACCUAAUAAGGAAGCACCGGCUAACUACGUG